GGGGUGGUAGUUCAGUCCGGUUAGAACGCCUGCCUGUCACGCAGGAGGUCGCGGGUUCGAGUCCCGUCCACCCCGCCA
RNAcentral lists this transfer RNA (78 nucleotides) under Nitrospirota bacterium. RNAcentral's name for it is "Nitrospirae bacterium (groundwater metagenome) tRNA-Asp". It matches the Rfam family "tRNA". From Rfam's summary of the family: Transfer RNA (tRNA) molecules are approximately 80 nucleotides in length. Their secondary structure includes four short double-helical elements and three loops (D, anti-codon, and T loops). Further hydrogen bonds mediate the characteristic L-shaped molecular structure. tRNAs have two regions of fundamental functional importance: the anti-codon, which is responsible for specific mRNA codon recognition, and the 3' end, to which the tRNAs corresponding amino acid is attached (by aminoacyl-tRNA synthetases). tRNAs cope with the degeneracy of the genetic code in two manners: having more than one tRNA (with a specific anti-codon) for a particular amino acid; and 'wobble' base-pairing, i.e. permitting non-standard base-pairing at the 3rd anti-codon position. Lineage: Bacteria; Pseudomonadati; Nitrospirota. The record is from RNAcentral.